This 253-nucleotide ribosomal RNA is filed under the name uncultured bacterium. Its description in RNAcentral is "partial 16S ribosomal RNA". It matches the Rfam family "Bacterial small subunit ribosomal RNA", at positions 524 to 776 of the family's 1533-position model. The record is from RNAcentral.
UACAGAGGGUGCAAGCGUUAAUCGGAAUUACUGGGCGUAAAGCGCACGUAGGCGGUUAGUUAAGUUGGAAGUGAAAUCCCCGGGCUCAACCUGGGAACUGCUUUCAAAACUGCUGAGCUAGAGUACGGUAGAGGGUGGUGGGAUUUCCUGUGUAGCGGUGAAAUGCGUAGAUAUAGGAAGGAACACCAGUGGCGAAGGCGACCACCUGGACUGAUACUGACACUGAGGUGCGAAAGCGUGGGGAGCAAACAGG